GACGAACCGUGCGAACGUUAUUCGGAAUCACUGGGCUUAAAGCGCGUGUAGGCGGGUCGGCGCGUCGGCCGCUGAAAUCCCCCGGCUCAACCGGGGAAGGGGCGCCGAGACGGCCGGCCUGGAGGGACGUAGGGGGGGCUGGAACUUCCGGUGGAGCGGUGAAAUGCGUUGAGAUCGGAAGGAACGCCCGUGGCGAAAGGCGAAGCCCCUGGACGUCUACUGACGGCUGAGACGCGAAAGCCAGGGGGAGCGAACGGG
RNAcentral lists this ribosomal RNA (258 nucleotides) under uncultured bacterium. Its description in RNAcentral is "partial 16S ribosomal RNA". It matches the Rfam family "Bacterial small subunit ribosomal RNA", at positions 524 to 776 of the family's 1533-position model. The record is from RNAcentral.